Molecule: non-coding RNA, 562 nt
Filed under: unclassified sequences
Description: ROOL RNA
Rfam family: ROOL RNA
About the family: Firmicutes, Fusobacteria (1 example), Tenericutes (1 example). Environment (Cow rumen (57))
Source: Rfam by way of RNAcentral
GCCAGCUUAAACAUGAUUACCUCGGUGUAGAGAGGUUUUUCAGCCUUGCCGAGAUGUGCAGUAACGAGAUAGAUAAAUUCGGGAUACUGGAUUUAUUGAUUCUUUCCUCAGAGAGUGAUCCUGCGGAGAAGAUGGAAACCGUCAACAAUGCUGUGCAGUGUAUCAUCAUAGAGAAAAUCAAAAGCAGAAUCCUUGUGGUCGGCGUAGAAAAGACGCUUACGGUGUAAGAAUAAUCCAUUGAUGUCGGCAGUGUGAGAGACUACGGACUAAAUGGAACUCUAAAAGAAGUCGAUUUGCCUUGAACCUGAGAAAUCGGGGUAUAACACAAGAAAUUCGUUAAAGUAGCGGUAUGGCAGCAAACAAAAAGUUUCCUCAAUAGAGUAUUGAGUUUUUAAAACAUCUGAAAGAACCGUGAAAUUUGCAGGUGAAAUCCUGCAUGUGCUUUGACCGCGGCAAGAAGCAUAGGGUCGCUCCCGAAAGCUCAGACUUGUCGUCACAUUGGUUGAAUAUGAUUGCAUCGUCGAUGAAUAAGGGGAAGCCCUAAUCAUGUUUAUUUUGGAGU